This 477-nucleotide ribosomal RNA is filed under the name Candidatus Scalindua brodae. Its description in RNAcentral is "bacterial SSU rRNA". It matches the Rfam family "Bacterial small subunit ribosomal RNA", at positions 365 to 832 of the family's 1533-position model. The record is from RNAcentral. Lineage: Bacteria; Pseudomonadati; Planctomycetota; Candidatus Brocadiia; Candidatus Brocadiales; Candidatus Scalinduaceae.
UUCGCAAUGCCCGAAAGGGUGACGAAGCGAUGCCGCGUGGGUGAGGAAGGCCCUCGGGUUGUAAAGCCCUGUCAGGAGUUAAGAAAUGUAGGUACGCUAAUAUCGUAUCUAUUUGACAAAGGCUCCAAAGGAAGCCACGGCUAACUCUGUGCCAGCAGCCGCGGUAAUACAGAGGUGGCAAGCGUUGUUCGGAAUUAUUGGGCGUAAAGAGCACGUAGGUGGGUUUGUAAGUCAGAUGUGAAAGCCUCCUGUUCAACGGGAGAAUUGCAUCUGAAACUGCGAGUCUUGAGUGUAGGAGGGGAGAAUGGAACUUCUGGUGGAGCGGUGAAAUGCGUAGAUAUCAGAAGGAACGCCGGCGGCGAAAGCGAUUCUCUGGCCUAUUACUGACACUCAGUGUGCGAAAGCUAGGGGAGCAAACGGGAUUAGAUACCCCGGUAGUCCUAGCCGUAAACGAUGGGCACUAAGUAGAGGGGUUUU